Morone saxatilis (striped sea-bass) is the source of this 446-nucleotide long non-coding RNA. RefSeq lists it as uncharacterized. The transcript is spliced from 3 exons. NCBI's taxonomy places the organism in Eukaryota, Metazoa, Chordata, Actinopteri, Moronidae. The record is from RefSeq and is a predicted model, not a curated record.
CUGCUCCAGAUUGAACCAGCUGACGGACGAGUUGAUCUUGUGCAGAACUGGAUCAAGUGAUUGCAGCGACUCUGCUGGAGUGCGUCUCAAGCGACAUGUGGUGGCAAGAGGACUCAUGGAUACGUCUGAAGAUGGAUGUCAACCUGUUGAAAUGCACUCGCGUAAAAAGAUUGGUGUCAAAACAGCCUGAUUGAAACAAUGGUGUAGCUUUCCCUCCACUGUGACACAACAGCCAAAUCCAUCAAAAUCGUGUGCCUCUGAGCUUCAGUUCUAUCACUGCAGCAGGUUUUUCUGAAUGCUUAACAAUGACAUCCAACUUGUGCAUCUAUGCUGCUGGAAACUUGCUAUAAGGAGUCAUGGUGGAGAGGAAGAAACUGUUAAAGUAUGACUUAAUUUCUGUUGCUACAUAUGUUCACUCCUAAUAAAACAGUUGUUGAAGCUGAAAA